RNAcentral lists this transfer RNA (73 nucleotides) under Pseudomonadota bacterium. RNAcentral's name for it is "tRNA-Thr". It matches the Rfam family "tRNA". Rfam says of the family: Transfer RNA (tRNA) molecules are approximately 80 nucleotides in length. Their secondary structure includes four short double-helical elements and three loops (D, anti-codon, and T loops). Lineage: Bacteria; Pseudomonadati; Pseudomonadota. RNAcentral also lists the same sequence under 2 other names. The record is from RNAcentral.
GCCCAUGUAGCUCAGGGGUUAGAGCGCCUCCUUGGUAAGGAGGAGGUCAGGGGUUCAAGUCCCCUCAUGGGCU